Molecule: long non-coding RNA, 4807 nt
Organism: Eleginops maclovinus (Patagonian blennie)
Lineage: Eukaryota; Metazoa; Chordata; Actinopteri; Perciformes; Eleginopidae
Exons: 4
Source: RefSeq, a predicted model, not a curated record
UGUUUUUGCUGCUCAUACCUUUACAAUAGUUUGCUUAAUUAUCCAGGACAAUUUAUUGAAUCUUGUUGUGGUGUUUUUACACAGUACAGCAGUUAUUCUACGUUUAGCUUUUUAAGUAGAACGUUGGCUUUUCACCAGCUUCUCACUCGGGGGAGAACUGUUGAUGACGAGUACCUAUUGUAAUGCUAAUGAACUGGUUGGGCCAUGUGAAGGAUUACCACUCAGGGACUAGACCGCUAAAAUACUUCAGAAAACACCUCAAUUGAAUGAAAAAACCAGUUGCAGUCGCGAAAGCAUUAAGCCAAUCAGGCAUGGAUAAAACACAGGAUCAGUCUAUGUGUCAACGGGGUACUAGUUUCUCCCCUGUCCAAGAACGGGUAAUGGUCUGGUCUGACAGCGCACAGCUCGGCUGUCUGCAGCAGAGAGCAGACGAAGAGAUAAAUCAGUGCUCUAAACCCUGAAGCCAAAACUCGUACACAUCCAAAACGGAAUAAAUAUAAAUCAAUAUUAUUAUCAAGUUAAAUCCUGUCCUCCGCGGAUACAUCUGAUGUAUCCUCCGAGGUCUACCAUAUCCCAGGAUGCCAUGCAAACUGGUGACGUUUAUUCAAAGUAAAUAGCGGUCAGGUCUCUGCAGCAGAGUGGAUUUAAAAGCAGCAGCAAGCAGAACCACUAAUGAAUGUGAAUAAAAAUAAAAAACUUGAUAAACACACUUCUGCUAAAUGACAUGAUGGAUUUCCUCUGUGUUAGUGAUGGAAGUUCUCAUAAUAGAAGACAUGAAACUGCAGAGGGAUGAUGGAUAUAUUCUUACCUCUACUUUGAGAUUAGAUGAAAAAAAAGAAUAGUAAUUGUUAAAUACAUUGUUUAUUUCAUUUACUCUGGUUUGAACCGUUAUUUACAACAUGAAGUAUAACAGUGGAAUAAUAGGGUAUCGCUAGGUCAUUAAACAGUCUUAAAUUCAGUUUUAAUUAUAUUAAUAGGUUUAGGGGAAUAAGGAGAAUAUAAACAGUUUCAAACCACAGCUAGAUAACAUUACAAAACUAAUAUUGUUAAGAAUCAAUCUAUGCAAGAUGCUUUUGUUGAUUAAUUAAACAAACAUAUUUGUAUUAUUACAGCAAUAUUAAGACUUGUUUUAAAUAGGAAAUGAUUAAAUGACAUCAGCUAUAUAUACAUCAUUUACUUGUUAACUAAUGUAACAUUACUGGAGGCCAAAGGAACAGCUUAAUCUUUUUUCUAUUUAUUUCAUCGCUGGCAGUAAUCUCCAAUAAAUUGUUCAACAAAAAAAAGGAAAACUAAAGUGUCUGGAUCCUCUUCAGCUGAGUUUGCUUGUUAAAUAAUUUACUAUCAGGCUUCUGGAGCGCAACAGAACAGCUCGUAUCACGUGACGUAAACAGGAGGUGCUCCGUAAACUAGACCGUCUCAUUUCGUAGGCCGCUCGGUCCAGCCUACCCGAUCUACCCCAGCUAACAGUUACGUUGCGCUUUCGUAACUUUAUGACCAAACAUACGUUGCCGCCACGUAACUUCUAACGUUGCCAAUACGUGCGGGUGAAAGACGCGAUAACGUUGCCGCAACAUAUCUUGGCGACGUUGCUCGUCCGUAACCGCCACGUCCUGGCGACAUCGCGGCAACCAAAAGAACAUACUGGCGACAUUGUAGCAACCAUCUUGAGAAAUGUUGCCAUAAUGUCGCCAUUAGGGCGGAUCUGCUUGGUGCAGUCCUCAUUUGCCCUAGAACCCCCAAAAUCUAGUAUCACAUUCAUAUUUUACCUGCAUUUUGGGUGGGUGCUGUAGCUAAUGUUGACCCCAAGCCUAUUCAAAAGAAAAGACAGCACUAACACAUAUCAAUUUAUUAUAGUUUUAUUUCAAAACUAUUGGGAAUUUCAAUUUUGGGGAUCUUCCACCUGCCGUUCCAGCCGACCCUGUGAAGACCAAAGAGAAGAGAACAGGUGAAUACAUUUAUAUUCAUUUUACAUUCUGUCAAAUGUCAUUUUACAUUUAGUCAAAACUUAAAUAGGGUUAUGCCAAUAGCUGAAGUUACGCCAGACUUUGUGUCUGGCCCGACAUUGUUGAGUGCAUCCAGGUUUGUUCUUCACUGUGACUGGUUGGCAUCUUAUUUAUUAGUUGUAACCUAUUUCUUAUUCCUAGCCCAUAAGUUAUUUAAGUUUAACUUUUUAGCAUUUAGAUAGUUUAUCCAUUUAUUAACCCGGCAGUAUUUUUUGGCCAGCUGUCUGUCAACUACCUCUAGAAUAUUUAGUUGCCAAGUAGACCUGUUCGGGAUUUAAUAGUUAAGCGAACCAAAUGAAAAUAGUUAAUGUGAUGUUAAUUUCAUCAGCCAAAAAACACUAAACCUGGAUUAAACCAAACAUAAAGCAACAAGUAUUGCAACGGAGAUUUGUUAGUGAAUUUGUUAUCUCACUUAAAAUCACAAUACCAAACAUAAUUUCAUGCGUCUUUGGCUAUAAGCUUCAUUGGUUGACUGGCUAACUAUUAGCCGGCUCGCUAGUUAAAACAAGCAGUGUAACAAUAGUGUUGGUAUGGAAACGGUGGUGCUGUUGCAAGCGUCACAAGGGUUAGCCUUGCUGGCCAAAAUUGGCUUGAAGACGAGGUGUAACUCUUGUGAAUAAGCUUAAAAAGUAGGGCAUGGAUCUGCAUCAUUUUGUGUUGGUGUAAAAAAAUAUGAAAAUUGUUCCCUAAUAGUCAGUCGGCAUGUUCGUAUAAUUGAUCUGCUGGAGGGAUUGCAUAUGCCUCUCUCGUUUCAACUCACCUUCAAACUUUUGGAGUGGGCUGAGGGGGAAUGUUUUAAGAAUUUUGCUAUCAGCCGCCCCACAUCCUUCUCUUCCAGCCCCGGCUUCCAUUUCAUGAUAGCCUCUGUAAUUAGAUUGAAUCCGUGAUCAUUAGAUUCAAUUUGUGAUGUUAGUUUCAGGUAAACGCUUACAGAUACUAUAUUUUUCUGAAAGCAUAUAAGUCCAUGAAUCACAGGCCCAAAAAUGGGCGUGUCACCAACACUCAGGGGCAAAUUCUCACUUUUUCUUAAAAGUGUAGAUUAAUAGCUGAAACAGCAAAAUAGAUUUGUUUGCACAUAUUUGGACUUCUUUCCUCGAAGGCUGUAGCUGCUCCACACAAACUCCCCGGGAUUGGACCCACCGACUAGGCUCAGAUGGGGACUAAGGAAAGCAAACAACCAUGGUUAAGGACUUUGUUUCCGCCCUCCUGUUCCUCCUGACAGCCUGAUCCCAGUCAUCUAAACAAAGAGCGAAAAAACGAGCCACAUUCCAUCUUCUCUUCCUUUUUCACAUCAGCAUGUGUCGAGAUGGAAGCAUGCUGAAUCUCUCCCGUCUCACGCAACUAAUUUUACGGAUUAUGUCAUCAAAGAAAGAAAUCCUGAAGAACUUGAACUGGUUCAACUGUGGAUAUUGCGACUAGAACGAGCUAGUCUCUGCGUUGACCUUCCAUGAUGAGGGACCAUUUCCAGUCUACAGCUGCAGCGAUCCUUUCCAAAACACCCGAAACAUGCUUGCCCAUCUUCACAUCAUCCUUACUGAGAAAAAAAGCAAGUAACGGGUGUGGUGGUGUGCAUACCUUCGUACACAACGCACAGAGCCAUUUUAUUUCACUUUCCAGGUUGACUAGUGUGGUCAAGAAGAGGAAGUUUGUGUUUGUUUAUUUUACUUUGAACUGUCGAAAUUGUCUGUUGGCACGACCACAUUGUAUUUCACAAGAUAAUUGUUUUAGUUGGCUGACGCUUUUGUCCAUAGCAACUUGCAUUGAAUCUUAUACGGUACUUGCAUGUAAAGGAAUCAUUUAUUUACUUCCUAUUAGUUGAAAGACAUUCUAUAAUGUAAUUUACAAGUACAAGAGAAGAAUUAAGAUUGUGUUUUGUUUCUAACCUAGUCUUCUUGACUCAUAUUUAUUGUUAUUUGUUAUUAACCAUUAACCAUCAUUCUAAGCUAAAUUGGUAUGACUUAAAAAAAAGAGGUAGAAAAUAACCAAGAAUUGCAGUUCUAAAGGAAGUCUUUCCAGUCAGUACCUAUAAGAUCUGAUCUGAAUAGGCUUAUGCGCCCCACCACCCCCUAAACAUUUCUCCAUGGCUUUAUGAAUCACAUUGUAGAAAAAGUUUUGCCUUAUCCCAAAACAUGGCUAAAAAGGCAAAUAAGAAUCUUUUCCAUAACAGGUGUGUUAAUGGGCAGCAAUAACAAGUGGUGAUGUACACAAAAAGCAACACAUUUAGAGUUGUAAUUUCUGAAAGAGUGUAAUUUGUAGCUGAAAAUUCCCACAAUCACAUUGUAGCUUUCAACAUGUGUUAUGCGGUCAUAAUACUGCGCUAAGUUCUUAUCACAUAUUUCUGAUUGUUCUCCCCUGUGGACCAGCCACAGGCAGUGAUGACACAUACUGGACAUAAGUAAUUAACCACUGUUUUAUGUGUGUUUAUUUAAUGUAUUUUAUGUUUUGUUAUAUUGCAUAGAAAAAUAUGCCAUUAUUUCUAUGCAUGCGCUUAGUUAACAGUUAUCAUAUCUCUGUGCUGAGCUACAGUACUGUUGUUAUUUCUACUUUUUUAAUAUUUUGAAGGUAUGUUAUUUCUAGCUCUUUUGUCGAUUCAUUUGUUUCUUCAAGUGUUAUAAUUUCACAUUGACGUGACUGCUUGUAUUUGUACUCCCUAUGUGAUGUAUAGCACGAUGAUAUAUUCUGGUGUUUCCAUUGUAGUUCUUUGCAUGAGCUGACAGAUUUUUGUUAUAACCACGUGGUCCCAACAGUUUAAUUGAAAUUCAGGUGGUCUAUGUACUGUGAAAAUAAAUAAUUAUACUAUGUAG